UGGACCAUUGUGUAACGGUAGCACUGCAGAUUUUGGUUCUGCCUGUCUAGGUUCGAAUCCUAGUGGUCCAACCA
This 74-nucleotide transfer RNA is filed under the name Deminuibacter soli. Its description in RNAcentral is "Chitinophagaceae bacterium K23C18032701 tRNA-Gln". It matches the Rfam family "tRNA". Rfam says of the family: Transfer RNA (tRNA) molecules are approximately 80 nucleotides in length. Their secondary structure includes four short double-helical elements and three loops (D, anti-codon, and T loops). Further hydrogen bonds mediate the characteristic L-shaped molecular structure. tRNAs have two regions of fundamental functional importance: the anti-codon, which is responsible for specific mRNA codon recognition, and the 3' end, to which the tRNAs corresponding amino acid is attached (by aminoacyl-tRNA synthetases). tRNAs cope with the degeneracy of the genetic code in two manners: having more than one tRNA (with a specific anti-codon) for a particular amino acid; and 'wobble' base-pairing, i.e. permitting non-standard base-pairing at the 3rd anti-codon position. Lineage: Bacteria; Pseudomonadati; Bacteroidota; Chitinophagia; Chitinophagales; Chitinophagaceae. The record is from RNAcentral.